CCUACGGGGGGCUGCAGUGGGGAAUUUUGGACAAUGGGCGCAAGCCUGAUCCAGCCAUGCCGCGUGAGUGAAGAAGGCCUUCGGGUUGUAAAGCUCUUUCGGCGGGGAAGAAAUUGCUCAGGAUAAUACCUUGAGUAGAUGACGGUACCCGCAUAAGAAGCACCGGCUAACUACGUGCCAGCAGCCGCGGUAAUACGUAGGGUGCGAGCGUUAAUCGGAAUUACUGGGCGUAAUGUGUAAGUCAGAUGUGAAAUCCCCGGGCUCAACCUGGGAACUGCAUUUGAGACUGCAAGGCUAGAGUGUAGCAGAGGGGGGUAGAAUUCCACGUGUAGCAGUGAAAUGCGUAGAGAUGUGGAGGAAUACCGAUGGCGAAGGCAGCCCCCUGGGUUACUACUGACGCUCAUGCACGAAAGCGUGGGGAGCAAACAGGAUUAGAUACCCCUGUAGUC
RNAcentral lists this ribosomal RNA (449 nucleotides) under uncultured bacterium. RNAcentral describes it as "partial 16S ribosomal RNA". It matches the Rfam family "Bacterial small subunit ribosomal RNA", at positions 338 to 795 of the family's 1533-position model. The record is from RNAcentral.